UGAAGAAGGCCUUAUGGUUGUAAAGCACUUUAAGCGAGGAGGAGGGUACUGGUAUUAAUACUACCAGCUACUGGACGUUACUCGCAAAAUAAGCACCGGCUAACUCUGUGCCAGCAGCCGCGGUAAUACAGAGGGUGCGAGCGUUAAUCGGAUUUACUGGGCGUAAAGCGUGCGUAGGCGGCUAAUUGAGUCGGAUGUGAAAUCCCCGAGCUUAACUUGGGAAUUGCAUUCGAUACUGGUUAGCUAGAGUGUGGGAGAGGAUGGUAGAAUUCCAGGUGUAGCGGUGAAAUGCGUAGAGAUCUGGAGGAAUACCGAUGGCGAAGGCAGCCAUCUGGCCUAACACUGACGCUGAGGUACGAAAGCAUGGGGAGCAAACAGGAUUAGAUACCCUGGUAGUCCAUGCCGUAAACGAUGUCUACUAGCCGUUGGUCUCUUUGAGGGAUUAGUGGCGCAGCUAACGCGAUAAGUAGACCGCCUGGGGAGUACGGUCGCAAGACUAAAACUCAAAUGAAUU
RNAcentral lists this ribosomal RNA (514 nucleotides) under uncultured bacterium. RNAcentral describes it as "bacterial SSU rRNA". It matches the Rfam family "Bacterial small subunit ribosomal RNA", at positions 406 to 911 of the family's 1533-position model. The record is from RNAcentral.